RNAcentral lists this microRNA precursor (95 nucleotides) under Canis lupus familiaris (dog). RNAcentral's name for it is "mir-8799 microRNA precursor family". It matches the Rfam family "mir-8799 microRNA precursor family". RNAcentral also lists the same sequence under 1 other name. Lineage: Eukaryota; Metazoa; Chordata; Mammalia; Carnivora; Canidae. The record is from Rfam by way of RNAcentral.
AGGGGGAACACCGGAUCUCCGUCUCUGUCCCCCAGCGCUCUGGGCUCUGGGGCCUGCACCGCUGGAAUUGCACUCCCGGGGCUGCGCAGCCCCCU